UGGGGAAUAUUGGACAAUGGGCGCAAGCCUGAUCCAGCAAUGCCGCGUGUGUGAAGAAGGCCUUCGGGUUGUAAAGCACUUUUAUCAGGAGCGAAACGCUGUCGGCUAAUACCCGGCGGAACUGACGGUACCUGAGGAAUAAGCACCGGCUAACUUCGUGCCAGCAGCCGCGGUAAUACGAAGGGUGCAAGCGUUAAUCGGAAUUACUGGGCGUAAAGCGUGCGUAGGCGGUUUCUUAAGUCUGCUGUGAAAUCCCCGGGCUCAACCUGGGAAUGGCAGUGGAUACUGGGAGGCUAGAGUGUGUCAGAGGGUGGUGGAAUUCCCGGUGUAGCGGUGAAAUGCGUAGAGAUCGGGAGGAACAUCAGUGGCGAAGGCGGCCACCUGGGACAACACUGACGCUGAGGCACGAAAGCGUGGGGAGCAAACAGGAUUAGAUACCCUGGUAGUCCACGCCCUAAAGCGAUGCGAACUGGAUGUUGGUCUCAACUCGGAGAUCAGUGUCGAAGCUAACGCGUUAAGUUCGCCGCCUGGGGAGUACGGUCGC
RNAcentral lists this ribosomal RNA (544 nucleotides) under uncultured bacterium. RNAcentral's name for it is "partial 16S ribosomal RNA". It matches the Rfam family "Bacterial small subunit ribosomal RNA", at positions 355 to 889 of the family's 1533-position model. The record is from RNAcentral.